RNAcentral lists this long non-coding RNA (525 nucleotides) under Cricetulus griseus (Chinese hamster). Its description in RNAcentral is "lncRNA (ENSCGRG00015028966.1)". The record is from RNAcentral. Lineage: Eukaryota; Metazoa; Chordata; Mammalia; Rodentia; Cricetidae.
AUUGUUGGCUGCUUUUACACACCUUGGUGAUGAGAACUGGAAACAUGAAGCAGAUCAUAAAGAUGGGAGGAACACACCCUUUGACCAGAAAAGAAAUGUGGCUUAAAUUGUGCGCAAAGAGGCUACAGAAAUGCCAACUCCUGGCAGUGAUCCUGAGGUCUCCAAAGAAGACAGAUUGGGCCCAGACCAGGAUUGUGGUGACGCUAAGCACUGGGAGAUACUGUACCAUGCCUUGCCUGCCACCAGGACCCUGAAUAAACUGUGGUCACUGUUAGGCUGACUUUCCUACUCUAAGUUAAGCCCAGAAGUCCAGAACACCUAAACAAAUGUGUAAUGAGCUGCAUUUGACUAAAGAACGGAGAUAUGCAGCUGUUAACUAAUGGCCGUGAAGAUCCAUGGGGCCUCGGUUAAAUGCCAGAUGUCUUCUCUGAUCUGCAUGUUAUUCUGAGACGACUAUUAUGUCAUGUGGUGAGAAUUUCGUAUGGUGAUUUUACAGUGAGAAAAAAAAACAUGAUUUGAUGAAAG